UUUCGCCUACGGGGGGCAGCAGUGGGGAAUAUUGCACAAUGGGGGAAACCCUGAUGCAGCAACGCCGCGUGAAGGAAGACGGUUUUCGGAUUGUAAACUUCUUUUCUUAGUGAAGAAGCAAGUGACGGUAGCUAAGGAAUAAGCAUCGGCUAACUACGUGCCAGCAGCCGCGGUAAUACGUAGGAUGCGAGCGUUAUCCGGAAUUACUGGGUGUAAAGGGAGCGCAGGCGGGAUGGCAAGUCAGAUGUGAAAUCCAGGGGCUCAACCCCUGAACUGCAUUUGAAACUGUCGUUCUUGAGUACUGG
This 305-nucleotide ribosomal RNA is filed under the name uncultured bacterium. RNAcentral describes it as "bacterial SSU rRNA". It matches the Rfam family "Bacterial small subunit ribosomal RNA", at positions 333 to 652 of the family's 1533-position model. The record is from RNAcentral.